This 90-nucleotide transfer RNA is filed under the name Acidobacteriota bacterium. RNAcentral's name for it is "Acidobacteria bacterium (hydrothermal vent metagenome) tRNA-Ser". It matches the Rfam family "tRNA". From Rfam's summary of the family: Transfer RNA (tRNA) molecules are approximately 80 nucleotides in length. Their secondary structure includes four short double-helical elements and three loops (D, anti-codon, and T loops). Lineage: Bacteria; Pseudomonadati; Acidobacteriota. The record is from RNAcentral.
GGAGGGAUGGCCGAGCGGUUGAAGGCGACGGUCCUGAAAAUCGUUAGCGGGGUAACUCGCUCCAGGGUUCGAAUCCCUGUCCCUCCGCCA